RNAcentral lists this ribosomal RNA (240 nucleotides) under uncultured bacterium. Its description in RNAcentral is "partial 16S ribosomal RNA". It matches the Rfam family "Bacterial small subunit ribosomal RNA", at positions 15 to 244 of the family's 1533-position model. The record is from RNAcentral.
GAUCCUGGCUCAGGAUGAACGCUAGCUACAGGCUUAACACAUGCAAGUCGAGGGGAAACGACAUCGAAAGCUUGCUUCCGAUGGGCGUCGACCGGCGCACGGGUGAGUAACGCGUAUCCAACCUGCCCACCACUUGGGGAUAACCUUGCGAAAGUAAGACUAAUACCCAAUGAUAUUUCUAGAAGACAUCUGAAAGAGAUUAAAGAUUCAUCGGUGAUGGAUGGGGAUGCGUCUGAUUAG